This 105-nucleotide transfer RNA is filed under the name Methanosarcinales archaeon. RNAcentral's name for it is "tRNA-Arg". It matches the Rfam family "tRNA". From Rfam's summary of the family: Transfer RNA (tRNA) molecules are approximately 80 nucleotides in length. Their secondary structure includes four short double-helical elements and three loops (D, anti-codon, and T loops). Further hydrogen bonds mediate the characteristic L-shaped molecular structure. tRNAs have two regions of fundamental functional importance: the anti-codon, which is responsible for specific mRNA codon recognition, and the 3' end, to which the tRNAs corresponding amino acid is attached (by aminoacyl-tRNA synthetases). tRNAs cope with the degeneracy of the genetic code in two manners: having more than one tRNA (with a specific anti-codon) for a particular amino acid; and 'wobble' base-pairing, i.e. permitting non-standard base-pairing at the 3rd anti-codon position. Lineage: Archaea; Methanobacteriati; Methanobacteriota; Methanomicrobia; Methanosarcinales. The record is from RNAcentral.
GGGCGUGUGGCCUAGUUUGGAUAGGGCGGCAAACAUUUGAGACAUCCUCAAUUGUCCGCGUGCCUCCUAAGCUGUAGGUCGCGGGUUCAAAUCCCGUCACGUCCG